GGUCGUUUGUCUGUUGUUCUUCUACUGCUAGCAAACGGUGACCCAUCGAUAUCUUUGGCACAUGCUCUGGUGAUGUACUAAUAGUAACCCUGUGUGCCCUGGAGUCGGGCUACUGACGAUACAUGCUGGCUAAUACCGUGUCGCUAGAAGCUGUUCAGAGCCGAAGCCGCUUGCAAAACCAAUUUGCAUUUGCAUGUAAGCAGUAGCACUGUUACCGGCCUCGGGUCUGGAUGCUUGGCUGCCACGUAACGUAAUCCAUGGGUUUGCGGAGCUCUUUUGUGCAUCCGAUAUGAGAGUUGCUUGACAAUGGUGCGUGGACGGAAUACCGUAACAUCAGGGGGCUCCUCUGAAUUUGUCAGUUCAAUGUUGCCACCAUACCAUAGCUCGAUGAUGGGGAGGGCAUUGUUGUCGCUGAUAGUACUGACAACUGUAAUCUGGACGCAAGCCGCCGAUGAGGUUGUUGUAAAGCAAAUGGAGCCAAAACAAAAGGAACUGAAAUGCUACAAGUGCCUUGAUUACGAACCCCACUGCCAGUCGCUGGCCAACAUAAGCGUCGUGGGUGUGGCCACAUGUGGACCUGACGAGACUUUCUGCCAGGUUCAGAGACAGCAUCUAAAUGAUGGCCUGAUCACAUUUGAGCGCCGUUGUGCGAGCUCUUGUAAACCGGGUUGUGAAAAUGCUGGCGACUACAAACGCUGCUCAUCGUGCUGUACAAACCAGCUGUGUAACACAGACAAUUCGGCACCGGGAAUCAUCAGGGACCAGCUGAUUAUUACCACCGUCACUUUCAGUUUUCUUGUUUACCUGAGCGUCCUCUGAAUGGAGUGAUACAAGUGUGCUGUGAUUGUGGAUUCCAGUGGGAUAAUUUCUGUACAAAGAGCUGAAGGAUCACAUAGAUUCUAUAUGUACAUCAUAUAUCUUGCCCUGGCUAUGUAUUCGGGUGGAAGUGUUGCUUGAGUAGACCUAGGAUACAUACAUGUGUAUACUAUACCUUCAGUAUCAAUGGCACGAUGGACGUCCGUAUUUCACAACGUGUAGUCGCUUAAUUUGUGUAUUAGCAUUUGCAUUAAGUAUUGAUCUUUGAAGUUAUCGCAAAAACAAGAGUGAACGGCAAUUGAGUUUCUGUAUAAAACAGUCGUGUUGUUUUGACCCAAAAUAUGUAAUUUAACUAACAGUGAAAUAAAGAGAUUGGCGUUCGGUGAUUAUAUUGAAGAUGUAUUAUAUAACGUUAGGGUAUAUGUGACAUUGGAGUAUGUCGUAAGUAUGUUCCAAUCUUUAAACAAGGUAAGUAACAAAGUAAGAAAUUUGGAGUAAUGUAUACAGAGAGCAGUCAAAACUUCGAAGUGAUGCCCGAAAGACGCCAGGAAUAUCCUAGACGCGUAAAUUUAAUCAGUGUUCAAAUAAUGAAGUAUGCUAGUUUACAUCAAAAACACGAUUCCUUUAUCAGAAAUGCUUCCAUCAAACGCUUUCAAUCUAAGGUUCUUGAAUGGACAAGUUGUCCAGGAGCGCUUUCGUCCUGCUUCAUAAUUGUGGUUGUGAGGUUGUAAAUGCACCAUGUUGUAUAAAAUCGCCAUGCCGGAUACACUAACAGUGAGGUAAUGGCCGAAAGUGUCUGAAAAUGUAUUUAUUUUGUGAAUUUGUGCCGUUGUCAUGGAUCGUUUUUGGUCCGGUGAGACUCACAACAAGUUAGUUGAUUAUGGGGACCACUCAGUUAACAUCCAUUUACGCUUGGGAAGACUUAAUGCGCUUGUGAAGAUGCGGUAAAUGUGGCUUACCGUCGAUCCGGCUCGUUAGAAGCAGUUAUUCUUCGUAAUUCGACCAACACUUUGUGUCGGUCGAUUUCAGAGUUACAUUUCGCAACUACAGCUGAAUUACCCCAACUUUCGGACAGCAAACUGAAUCCAUGCUCAUUGCACAGGCUUCAACAAAAGUUGACACCACAAACAAUUCAUUACCUAUUUCUGGAGCCUCCGUGGCCGAGUGGUUAGUGUGCUAGCGUAGUAUAGUGAUUAAUUCAUUCGCCUAGAAUUUCUUUCCACCAUCACUGAAAACUGUUGACUGCUUUUCUUUGCAUGAUUCCGUCCUAAUUUCGUACUUAAUAUACUAUCUUAGUUCUUCGGUGGUUUGUGUUAAAUGUGGUUUUUUGGAGACUGACCUUGCCAUUAUUGAUCCAGAACGUUGAUCCUUUUUUGUUGGAGGCCUGUAGACCUGGACCUGUAUGAAUGUCUGUUGCGACGCAUAGAUUCAGCUCCCUCUCAAAUCAUACAUGGGAAAGUUUGUCACCAACCUGCUGAUGGUGAUGGGUUUCCUCUAAGCUUUGUUUGGUUUCCUCCAACCCUGACGCUGUAGUGUGAUUGAAAUGUGUGAUCAAUCUGGUAUAGAUUACUGCUUGAGCUUGUACAAACGUUUCCCUGCACAAGUUCCACAUAAGAUUGCAAGUCACAGACAUUUAUACAAGAUUUCUCAAGCGGUAGACAACAGUGUCGUUCAGUGACCAAAAAGUAGCAAGUAACCUGGAAAUUUUUCAAGGAUUGUACGAGUCUAAAAAUUGAAUUAUAUGUCAGAAAACUGAUGACUGCUUCUUAUUUACAUGUUAAUUAUUUACUAAUUAUGCAUUAUUUCUUACAUAUUCCGUUGAGAACUGGUGUUUACCUCGUUUUGGAAAUGGGUUUUGCGAAUGUGGACUUUGAACACCCCUUCAUGCUACACGAGUGUGCGGCAUUCGACGUUUUGAUGAUCAACACUGUUUUCUUGACUCAAGAAAUUUGAACAAAUA
Molecule: long non-coding RNA, 2776 nt
Organism: Liolophura sinensis
Lineage: Eukaryota; Metazoa; Mollusca; Polyplacophora; Chitonida; Chitonidae
Exons: 3
Source: RefSeq, a predicted model, not a curated record